Molecule: ribosomal RNA, 323 nt
Filed under: uncultured bacterium
Lineage: Bacteria
Description: bacterial SSU rRNA
Rfam family: Bacterial small subunit ribosomal RNA
Source: RNAcentral
GACGAACGCUGGCGGCGUGCUUAACACAUGCAAGUCGAGCGGUAAGGCCCUUUCGGGGUACGACGAGCGGCGAACGGGUAGGAGUAACACGUGGGUGGACCUCGCCCUCCAGCUCUGGGAGUAAGCCGUCGGGAAACCGGGGUACCGUAAUAACUGGAUAUGACUCCAUGACGCAUGUUGGUGGGGUGGGAAAGACCUUGUGCGGCUGAGGAGUGGGCCCGGCCGGCCUAUCAGCUUGUUGGGUGGGGUGANGGCCUACCAAGGCGACGACGGGUAGCCGGCCUGAGAGGGCGACCGGCCACACUGGGACUGAGACACGGCCC